This 468-nucleotide ribosomal RNA is filed under the name uncultured bacterium. RNAcentral's name for it is "partial 16S ribosomal RNA". It matches the Rfam family "Bacterial small subunit ribosomal RNA", at positions 28 to 507 of the family's 1533-position model. The record is from RNAcentral.
GACGAACGCUGGCGGCGUGCUUAACACAUGCAAGUCGAACGGAAAGGCCCUGAUUUUGUGGGGUGCUCGAGUGGCGAACGGGUGAGUAACACGUGAGUAACCUGCCCUUGUCUUUGGGAUAACUUCAGGAAACUGGGGCUACUACCGGAUAGGAGCCGCUGCUGCAUGGUGGGGGUUGGAACGUUUCGGCGGUUGGGGAUGGACUCGCGGCUUAUCAGCUUGUUGGUGGGGUAGUGGCUUACCCAGGCUUUGACGGGUAGCCGGCCUGAGAGGGUGACCGGCCACAAUGGGACUGAGAGACGGCCCAGACUCCUACGGGAGGCAGCAGUGGGGAAUAUUGCACAGUGGGCGGAAGCCUGAUGCAGCAACGCCGCGUGCGGGAUGACGGCCUUCGGGGUGUAAACCGCUUUCGCCUGUGACGAAGCGUGAGUGACGGUAAUGGGUAAAGAAGCACCGGCUAACUACGUG